GUUACUUACUGGUGUGUCUCCCAAGUUCAUGAGAAGCUCUGAGGAUUCAGACCUGCUUUUGUCCCUGACUUCCCAUCACAAGGUUAACACACUGUUGACGGAGAUGAGUAAACUGGGGUCAGGGGCUCUGCUUUCCUAUUUGUCUGUAAUUAACCCUGUCUCUUUCCAGCUCAGGUGGAAAGCCUAUUUAUUCUGUGGCUGCCAUGGCCAAUGAGAAGGGUGUUAAGGGCUGAGGCAGUCAGGGUGGCUCAGACCUCGGCUGUGGAUCAUGACCCCCAGGUGACAGCAGGGAGCAGCACCCAGUCUCCUGGGAAGAAAGCCAACUCCUGCCACCUGUCCUCUGUCCCACUCUUAACCUGCUUGCCACCUAACACUCCACCCAUCCUGAGCGCGCCACCACUGGAAAUAAACCCCGGAACAACAAGACCUCUUCAGUUUAUUUCUGGCUCUGCAUCUCUGGUAUACAGAUGCCCUGUCUGUCUCAUGAGUUCACCUGCCAUCUUUCUACGGAGAAAAGACUGCAAGCAGAACUAGGCUUUU
Mustela erminea (ermine) is the source of this 540-nucleotide long non-coding RNA. RefSeq lists it as uncharacterized. Lineage: Eukaryota; Metazoa; Chordata; Mammalia; Carnivora; Mustelidae. The record is from RefSeq and is a predicted model, not a curated record. The transcript is spliced from 2 exons.